RNAcentral lists this long non-coding RNA (1554 nucleotides) under Canis lupus familiaris (dog). RNAcentral describes it as "lncRNA (ENSCAFG00000058020.1)". The stretch from base 115 to 202 matches the Rfam family "mir-8799 microRNA precursor family". The record is from RNAcentral. Lineage: Eukaryota; Metazoa; Chordata; Mammalia; Carnivora; Canidae.
UCCGGAGCUCUCCGCCUGCAGGGCCUGGAGGCUCCUGGGCGGGGCCACUGACCUGCUCAUCUCGGGCCAGGAGCAUCCUUGCUGUCCUGGGCCCUCCAGGCCUCUGCCUGUCCCGGGGGGAGGCUGGAUCCUGGGCUGUGUCCCGGCGCCCUGUGCUCCCGGUCUGCGCUGUUGUAUUCGUGCUCCCGCCUCGCAGUCCCCUCUGCACGGAGCCUCUUCCUCCGCCCGAGUCCCUCCGAGCUGCUCUCGGGUCCAGCUGUGUGCGCUGCAGCCCUUAGGGAGCUCGGCGCACUCUCCCCGGGGCGCAGUUCCUCCGGGACGGGGCUCUCCUGUCCUGGGGACACUCGCCCCGGCCUCAGCCCGGCUCCCCACGGGGCCCCUCCCCCUUGGAUGCCUUUUGUUUCUUUAUUUCUUCCCCCCCCCGCCCUCCCCCCGUCUUCCUACUUUGAUAGAAGCGCGAACUCUUCUCACUGUAGCAUUCCAGCUGUUCUCUCUUUAAAUCUCUGGCCGAAUUCAUAGAUUUUCAGGAUAAUUUGAAGGUUAUCUAGGUAAUUUGGUGGGGACAGGUGAUUUGGAGACCCUACUCUUCUGCCAUCUUGCCCCUCCUCCUCGGGUUAUGCUUUGUCCUCAGUUUACCUUCUGCUCCCUCAUCAACUGGACGAUAAACAAACAUGGAUCUUUACCCAUAAUUUUAAAUCUGCAGCAAUACAUCCCUCUAGUUCACUUGGGCCCACGAAUUUUAUAGUGCGUUUGAAAAUCAUAUUACUUAUCUACACAGAGUCCCUACUCUUCCCCCACAAAUUUUGGCCAGGGCCUCACACACCCUGAGGACAGCUGUGCUUAGAGCUGAACCCAAGGUCGUGUCUUGUGUCUCUUGACCUGGUUGGGCUUUGGACCUGGAUUCUCUUCCUUGGCUCCUGGAGUGCUCCCGCGUGGCAGGAGCAGACAGAGGGGGCUGGGCCUCUUCCUCCCUCCUCCUCCUCGAGGCUGUAAAGUAUCACCUGGCAGAGACUCGUCCCCCCGGGGUUGAAGCGCGGCCCAAGGGACGGGGUUGGUGCUAUGUCCAGCAAGCCUUUGCUUUAGCACGUGAUUUCUUAAUGUUGCUGCCUCUGUACCCUGUGCCCUACCCCCAGGGCUGCCACGUCCUCUUCUGCAUGGCAGACGGAGCUCCAGUUAGCUGCCCAAAGUGACUCAGAUCACGGAGAUGCCACCUCCCGGAGCAAGUGGGCUGGCUCUUUAAUAGAAUUAUGGCUCGGAGUAACUAUAAUUCAAGUAAACAAUGGAUUUAGGGGGAGAAUCGGGGAGAAGAGGGAAAUGAGGUGUUAGGGCGGAGCAGAAGGAGCAACUAGCAGCACGAGGGUUCAGGCUGGGCGCGGCAGCUUCACCUGCCACGGGGGGACUUCAGGAGGCGCCGAGAAGCUCUCCGUCCCUGACGGGAGCCUCGUAUUUGGAACCAGAUCCUCGUAAACUGACUGUGCAUUUCUAUCUAUAAGGAUAUAAGACUUUUAGCUUCAAACAAUUAGUGAGAUUUUCAGUACCUGUAUAAGACGACAC